GUCAUUUUUGCAUCGACCCCAAAUCUUCUUCCCUGUUUGUUGCCUCCAUUGCCAUGGUCUUGACCAUCUAGUUCUAGAAACCUUUUUUGAAUCGAUUCUUACGAGAGUUGACUUUAAUAAAGUAUAAACCUGACCCACAGCAUUAGAUUCUUUGAAUUGGCUUGGAGGUUUGAUUCUCCAAGUUCUUGAGUUGGUAACUCUAAAGGUCAGAAGGCUGAUGAUGGACAGAGAGCAGACAACUUGGAAUAUCAUUAUAUUGACAUCAUUCUAAUAUAACACAAGGCGGACUACACAUUUGGGCCCUUAGGGAGGCCCAACGAAUCAAGCACACGUGGCGAAGAAGAAGGGUGGCUGAGAAUGGAACCGACGUGGCGGAAAACAUAUUCUUUGAGAAUCCUCUUUUAGAAGAAUAUUUUGGGGGAAGAAAAGGAAAGGAAGAUGGGAGGAAAGGAAUAAAGAGAGGGGUUUAUGAAAAGGAAAUUAUUAUUAUAAUUAUUGUUUGUGAGAAGAUUAUGGAGAAUUAUUUAUAAUAUUUAUUUGGAAGAAGGAUUACGAUAAAAAGAUUGUAUUUUUUUUUUCAUUUGUGUAAAAAAAGUGUACCAAAA
Long non-coding RNA from Cucumis sativus (cucumber), 605 nucleotides. RefSeq lists it as uncharacterized. The record is from RefSeq and is a predicted model, not a curated record. The transcript has 2 exons. NCBI's taxonomy places the organism in Eukaryota, Viridiplantae, Streptophyta, Magnoliopsida, Cucurbitales, Cucurbitaceae.